RNAcentral lists this ribosomal RNA (548 nucleotides) under Palythoa aff. clavata JDR-2012. RNAcentral's name for it is "partial 16S ribosomal RNA". It matches the Rfam family "Bacterial large subunit ribosomal RNA", at positions 1848 to 2436 of the family's 2925-position model. The record is from RNAcentral. Lineage: Eukaryota; Metazoa; Cnidaria; Anthozoa; Zoantharia; Sphenopidae. RNAcentral also lists the same sequence under 1 other name.
GAGGGUGAUGCCUGCCCAAUGGUUGUAUCUAAAAGCGGUUGAUAAAAGUCGACCUCGUAAGGACAAUUGAAUGGCCGCGGUAACACUGACCGUGAUAAUGUAGCGUAAUCAAUAGCCAAUUAAUUGUUGGCCAGUAUGAAUGGCGCCACGAAGGCCCCACUGUCUUAAGGAAAUUCCCAGUGAAAUUGAAUUCGUAGUGAAGAUGCUACGUCCAAUUUGUUAGACGAAAAGACCCCGUUGAGCUUUACUGGGGCACUUACACGGCCCCGGCCUUCCCGUGUCCGGGAACCGGCCGAAUUUAAAUGGGUGGUUUAGACUAUGUGGCAGCCCCCCGCCGGGGCAGAUGAAACCCCACUCCCCCAUGUCAAAGGGGCUAACCCCCCCCUUGGGGGGGACAGUGUAAGUAGGACAGUUUGGUUGGGGCGACCGCCUUUUAAAGAGUAACGAAGGUGCGCUUAAGGUGCGCAAUUAAUGACUGAAGCCUGACUGCGAGGGGGACACCCCGAGCAGACACCCCUAAGCCCGCCCGAAGGGCGGCGGUGGGGUGG